This 459-nucleotide ribosomal RNA is filed under the name uncultured bacterium. RNAcentral's name for it is "partial 16S ribosomal RNA". It matches the Rfam family "Bacterial small subunit ribosomal RNA", at positions 338 to 795 of the family's 1533-position model. The record is from RNAcentral.
CCUACGGGAGGCAGCAGUGAGGAAUAUUGGUCAAUGGGCGUAAGCCUGAACCAGCCAAGUCGCGUGAGGGAUGAAGGUUCCAUGGAUCGUAAACCUCUUUUAUCAGGGAACAAAGUGCGGGACGUGUCCCUUUCUGUAUGUACCUUAUGAAUAAGGAUCGGCUAACUCCGUGCCAGCAGCCGCGGUAAUCGGGGGGAUCCGAGCGUUAUCCGGAUUUAUGGGGUUUAACGGGUGCGUAGGCGGCCUUUUAAUUCAGCGGUAAAAGCCCGGGGCCAAACCAAGAACAGCCGUUGAAACUGGGAGGCUUGAGAUUGUGUGAGGCAGGCGGAAUGCGUGGUGUAGCGGUGAAAUGCUUAGAUAGCGCGCAGAACCCCGAUUGCGAAGGCAGCAUGCCGGGCCAGGACUGACGCUGAGGCACGAAAGCGUGGGGAUCGAACAGGAUUAGAUACCCCAGUAGUC